AAUUCUCAACCUUUUCAGCUUUCUUUGUUGAUCAGGCUUGGAUGUGGGAGUAUGCGGGCUUCUCAGAAGUCGGCUCUCCUGAAAUGCAUUAGCGGGACCUUUGUUGCCUGGCUUUGGUGUGAUAAUUAUCUACGCCAUUGUAGUCAAGCAGCUUAAAAUGAGGUUUCAGCUUCUAACCGUCUCCCCUGAGACAACUUUUCGACA
This 204-nucleotide unclassified non-coding RNA is filed under the name uncultured Tricholoma. RNAcentral describes it as "sequence contains ITS2". Lineage: Eukaryota; Fungi; Basidiomycota; Agaricomycetes; Agaricales; Tricholomataceae. The record is from RNAcentral.